RNAcentral lists this ribosomal RNA (253 nucleotides) under uncultured bacterium. RNAcentral describes it as "partial 16S ribosomal RNA". It matches the Rfam family "Bacterial small subunit ribosomal RNA", at positions 524 to 776 of the family's 1533-position model. The record is from RNAcentral.
UACAGAGGGUGCGAACGUUGUUCGGAAUUACUGGGCGUAAAGCGCAUGUAGGCGGCAGCGCAAGUCGGGCGUGAAAUCCCACGGCUCAACCGUGGAAGUGCACUCGAAACUGCGCAGCUAGAGUCCUGGAGAGGAAGGUGGAAUGCUUGGUGUAGAGGUGAAAUUCGUAGAUAUCAAGCGGAACACCGGUGGCGAAGGCGGCCUUCUGGACAGUGACUGACGCUGAGAUGCGAAAGCGUGGGGAGCGAACAGG